Molecule: ribosomal RNA, 253 nt
Filed under: uncultured bacterium
Lineage: Bacteria
Also listed under: 1 other name
Description: partial 16S ribosomal RNA
Rfam family: Bacterial small subunit ribosomal RNA
Source: RNAcentral
UACGUAGGGUCCGAGCGUUGUCCGGAAUUAUUGGGCGUAAAGGGCUCGUAGGCGGUUUGUUGCGUCGGGAGUGAAAUCCUCCAGCUUAACUGGAGGCUUGCUUUCGAUACGGGCAGACUUGAGGUACUCAGGGGAGAAUGGAAUUCCUGGUGUAGCGGUGAAAUGCGCAGAUAUCAGGAGGAACACCGGUGGCGAAGGCGGUUCUCUGGGAGUUACCUGACGCUGAGGAGCGAAAGUGUGGGGAGCGAACAGG